Long non-coding RNA from Oreochromis aureus, 855 nucleotides. RefSeq lists it as uncharacterized. Lineage: Eukaryota; Metazoa; Chordata; Actinopteri; Cichliformes; Cichlidae. The record is from RefSeq and is a predicted model, not a curated record. The transcript is spliced from 3 exons.
GCAUCUCUAUGGUGAUACAUGCUGUCAUUUGCAGUGUACUAAACAUAUUUUAUGUUUCAUUUAACUUAAUAAAUAAUGAAAGACCGAGCGCCAGCGUUUCCCCCUUCACACAUUUUUUUGUACUCUUCUCACAAGGCUUCUUCUUCUUUCAGCUACUCCUUUUAGAGGUCGCCACAGCCAAUCAUCUGCCUUCUUGUCCCACCUUGUUCCUAGUAAUCCAAUCUUCAAUUCUGCCCCCUCCAGGAGGAAGUCUGAUCUUUAAGAGGAGAGUGUAAAAAAGAUAAAUAAUUACUGCUCUCAGAGGACUGCAAGUGUGCCAAGCAUCCGUGAGGGAGAGAGAGUAAGAUGGAGACGCACUCUGACAGCGGCAGAGCUCAGCUAGCAAACACUGCAACAAACUGUCAGCUAGAAGGAGAGAUGGGGAAGAGCGCAAUGAUGGACAGCAGACAUGUGGAUGCUGAAAAAUGAUUUUUUUUUUUCUGCAUGUGUGGUUUAUUGUGCUGUCUGUGUGUAAAGGCAAUGUUCUCCAUCAGUUCCUGGGGGAAUCCUUUUUUUUCCCAACUCCCAAAUGUUCACCACCCAUUUACUAAUUUGGUCUGUUUUCUGUGUUGCGCUGGGCAGGUAGUGUACAGUGAGUUCAUCAGAGAAUUUCUGUUAAAAACAACUGCCAUCUGCAGCUUUAAACGAGGCUGAUAGGGUUGGUGAGACUGAAGCAAAACAUAAAAAUAUAUUUAAAACAUAUUUAAUUAUCUGUUAUACAGAUAAUAUUGCAACACAAAAAUUAAUGAUUAGUGCAACUUUAAAGUAACAUACUUGAAAGCUGAUAUACUUAUAUAGUCACCAAACACUGGCCAA